RNAcentral lists this ribosomal RNA (714 nucleotides) under uncultured bacterium. Its description in RNAcentral is "bacterial SSU rRNA". It matches the Rfam family "Bacterial small subunit ribosomal RNA", at positions 777 to 1505 of the family's 1533-position model. The record is from RNAcentral.
AUUAGAUACCCUGGUAGUCCACGCAGUAAACGAUGAUAGCUCGUUGUCGGCGAUACAUUGUCGGUGACUAAGAGAAAUCGUUAAGCUAUCCACCUGGGGAGUACGUUCGCAAGAAUGAAACUCAAAGGAAUUGACGGGGGCCCGCACAAGCGGAGGAACAUGUGGUUUAAUUCAAUGAUACGCGAGGAACCUUACCCGGGCUUGAAAGUUACUGACUAAUCUGGAAACAGGUUAUCCCUUCGGGGCAGGAAACUAGGUGCUGCAUGGUUGUCGUCAGCUCGUGCCGUGAGGUGUCGGGUUAAGUCCCAUAACGAGCGCAACCCUUGCUGUUAGUUGCCAUCAGGUCAAGCUGGGCACUCUAACGGGACUGCCGGUGCAAGCUGGAGGAAGGUGGGGAUGACGUCAAAUCAGCACGGCCCUUACGUCCGGGGCGACACACGUGUUACAAUGGCGGGUACAGCGGGAGGCCAUGCGGCGACGCAGAGCGGAACCCGAAAACCCGUCUCAGUUCGGAUUGGAGUCUGCAACCCGACUCCAUGAAGCUGGAUUCGCUAGUAAUCGCGCAUCAGCCACGGCGCGGUGAAUACGUUCCCGGGCCUUGUACACACCGCCCGUCAAGCCAUGGGAGCCGGGAGUGCCUGAAGUGCGUGAGCGCGAGCAGCGCCCUAGGGUAAAACCGGUGACUGGGGCUAAGUCGUAACAAGGUAACAAGGC